GUCCCUACGGGGCGCAGCAGUGGGGAAUAUUGCACAAUGGGGGAAACCCUGAUGCAGCAACGCCGCGUGAGUGAUGACGGCCUUCGGGUUGUAAAGCUCUGUCUUCAGGGACGGUAAUGACGGUACCUGAGGAGGGAGCCACGGCUAACUACGUGCCAGCAGCCGCGGUAAUACGUAGGUGGCGAGCGUUGUCCGGAUUUACUGGGCGUAAAGGGAGCGUAGGCGGACUUUUAAGUGAGAUGUGAAAUACUCGGGUUCAACUUUGGUGCUGCAUUUCAAACUGUAAGUCUAGAGUGCGGGAGAGG
This 305-nucleotide ribosomal RNA is filed under the name uncultured bacterium. RNAcentral's name for it is "bacterial SSU rRNA". It matches the Rfam family "Bacterial small subunit ribosomal RNA", at positions 335 to 657 of the family's 1533-position model. The record is from RNAcentral.